Molecule: ribosomal RNA, 253 nt
Filed under: uncultured bacterium
Lineage: Bacteria
Description: partial 16S ribosomal RNA
Rfam family: Bacterial small subunit ribosomal RNA
Source: RNAcentral
UACGGAGGGCGCAAUAGAUAUACGGAAUUAUAGGGCGUAAAGUGUCAGUCGGUGGUUGACAAAGUGUGCUGUCAAAGAGUGGGUCUUAACCUCAUCAAGGCAGUGCAAACUGGUGAUCUAGAGCGGUGUAGGGGUAAGGGGAAUUCCCAGUGUAGCGGUGAAAUGCGUAGAGAUAGGGAAGAACAUCGAUGGCGAAAGCGUCUUGCUGGUCCUGCACUGACACUGAGGCUCGAAAGCUAGGGGAACGAAAAGG